RNAcentral lists this ribosomal RNA (557 nucleotides) under uncultured bacterium. Its description in RNAcentral is "bacterial SSU rRNA". It matches the Rfam family "Bacterial small subunit ribosomal RNA", at positions 8 to 573 of the family's 1533-position model. The record is from RNAcentral.
AGAGUUUGAUCCUGGCUCAGGAUGAACGCUAGCGGCAGGCCUAAUACAUGCAAGUCGAACGGUGAUAGCAAUAUCAUAGUGGCGCACGGGUGCGUAACACGUAUGCAACCCACCUUAUACUGAGGGAUAGCCUUUCGAAAGGGAGAUUAAUACCUCAUAACACAUUGAACUGGCAUCAGUUUAUUGUUAAAGAUUUAUUGGUAUAAGAUGGGCAUGCGUCCAAUUAGUUAGUUGGCGAGGUAACGGCUCACCAAGACGAUGAUUGGUAGGGGAACUGAGAGGUUAAUCCCCCACACUGGCACUGAGAUACGGGCCAGACUCCUACGGGAGGCAGCAGUAGGGAAUAUUGGGCAAUGGAGGCAACUCUGACCCAGCCAUGCCGCAUGCAGGAAGAAGGCGUUAUGCGUUGUAAACUGCUUUUAUAUAGGAAGAAAUAGACCUUGCGAGGUAAGUUGACGGUACUAUAUGAAUAAGCACCGGCUAACUCCGUGCCAGCAGCCGCGGUAAUACGGAGGGUGCAAGCGUUGUCCGGAUUUAUUGGGUUUAAAGGGUGCGUA